Molecule: ribosomal RNA, 301 nt
Filed under: uncultured bacterium
Lineage: Bacteria
Description: partial 16S ribosomal RNA
Rfam family: Bacterial small subunit ribosomal RNA
Source: RNAcentral
CAGCCGCCGCGGUAAUACGAAGGGGGCUAGCGUUGUUCGGAAUGACUGGGCGUAAAGGGCGCGUAGGUGGUUAUGUAAGUGAGAUGUGAAAUCCCCGGGCUCAACCUGGAACUGCAUCUUAUACUGCGUAGCUGGAGUGCAGUAGAGGGUAGUGGAAUUUCCGGUGUAGCGGUGAAAUGCGUAGAUAUCGGAAGGAACACCAGUGGCGAAGGCGGCUACCUGGACUGACACUGACACUGAGGCGCGAAAGCGUGGGGAGCAAACAGGAUUAGAUACCCCUGUAGUCCCUGUCUCUUAUACA